RNAcentral lists this long non-coding RNA (607 nucleotides) under Helianthus annuus (common sunflower). The record is from RNAcentral. Lineage: Eukaryota; Viridiplantae; Streptophyta; Magnoliopsida; Asterales; Asteraceae.
CAAGUGGACAAGUUGGUGAAUUUGGUGAAGACUUAUAACAAUUAGUUACCAUAAUCAACAAAGCUCAUUACUUCACUUUUCACCUUUCUUUACACACAAAUAAGAAACUCUCUAAACAUUCAUCUUUUUAGCCAAGAACACCCACCAAAAACUUUCAUUUUGAAGCCUUUCUUUGAUGAUCAAGAUGGAACUUGAAGAUACAUAAGAUGAUCUAAGGAUACUACAAGAAGAAGCAAGCUUUUUCUUCCAUUCCAUAGCUUCCAAACAUCAAGAUCAACACUUUUUUCUUUUCUUUGAUCAUCAUAUAGAUCAUCCCUAGCCACAAGUGCUAGUAAUGAUAUUUAAAAACAUAAUCUAACAAGUGUACAUGAAAAUGAAAUUAGUGGACCAUGCGGGCAUUUCAGUCCAGGAAAGCAAGUAUCAAGACUCCAUGUCACCAUUUGAAGGGCUUGCCCAUUAUAUACCGCCUCUUUGCGGUGAUAUAGUGGUCAAAGCCUUGAGAUUUUAAGACGUACAUUUUGAUGUAUAAAACAAUGACAACUUAUUUUCAUUUGAUGGUUUGUAACCAAUACAUUUAACUUAUGUUGCGUUCUUUUGAAACGAUUAU